GGUAGCAGAGACAGUGGAAAGAAAUACUCCGACGAGAUUGCCGCGGAUCCUCGGCGCAGCCCCUAGCGAUCCGUUCUCUCUUGCGAUGACAGGGGAAGAAUACGAAGUUAGAAGGGGGGCAAAGACGAAGAAAACAGACGGAAAGUACUUCAAGCCCAUGAAAGCUGUGCUAAGUGCUUAUGAAUAUCUGUAAAAAUGAGAAAGGGAUUUUUUUUUCUUUUUGCCACCAUCUGUUGCAUUGUUUCAAAUAUUCACAUACCAAAAUGUAACUGCCCAGCAAAUUUAAUGAUAACGAAAUUAAAGCAUGUUGGCAGAAAGUACCGGGCCAUAUUAAUGUUCGCUUAGCCUCUGUUUUGUUUGUACUUUAAUGUCUUUGUUUCCAAGCACUUUUCUUCAACUCCAAGUUUCAUUUCUGUCUUUUUAUUCUUUUUAAUGCCAUAAAAUGGAUAGCUUUAGGCCCUAGCAUGUCUAAAGAGGCAGACACUGCACAAAGCUGCAGUUCUGAGAUUUGUGUGGACCAUUACAUUGUUUCCACAAAGAUUAAUGAAAACUGCAGUUCUCCACCUCAGUUUACAGAUGGAAAAAAUUAAUUCACCUGCAUAGAAGGAAUCAGUGUGUCACAGCUGCCUUUGGCAAGAUGGUCUGAGAGUUAUGCAGGUCCAUCAGGCUCAGCUACAGCUUUUCAUCUGCCCUUCCUCCUGCAACCAGAGAGAUAGCCCACAAGGGCAUGGGGUAUGCAGACCCUCCCCAGUCAGCUGCAGCAGUCGCUCCUGCCAGCGCUCCCUUUCCCCCAGAUCAUUGCCAUUUCACAGGCUGGAGCCCUAUGUGGCAGAAGAGGAGAGAGCUACAGGCAGAAGUAAAACAGGGUGCUGGGAUUCCUCCAUCCUGCUGCCAGAUGUCUUCUCUGGCAUUCUGGGGGUGGGCAGGGGACUGUGGGAGCACUCUCGAGGCUCUGGGCAGGAUGGUAGGAAGCAAAGAUGCAGCUGCAGGCAGUGGGCUGUGGGCUGGAGCAGUGCAGCCAGGCACGGCUCACAGUAUGGGCACACGGAGGAAGUUCAUCCAGCUGAGAGCUGCUGGGCUGUCCUUACCACGCACUCUCCCAUCCUACAGGUCUGCACAGACUGCAGCAGUUGCUCGAGCAUUUUCCACUGCAGGCGCUCACAAGCGACAACUCCAACCUUGACCCAUACAGGUAAUGACAAUAUACACACACAAAUACACACUCAAUACAGAAUCUGGAACUCUACAGUCCUCCCAGAGCUUGUUACUGCUUUUUAGGCUGCUCUUCAGGUAUUCUGUCCUUUCCCCUUCACUCCCCUAUGUCUUGCCCCAUGCCUUCCCCAUUUCUUUUUCAGGCUUUCCCCUUUAUUUCCUCACUUCCUUCCCCAUGCCAUCCCCCUGCAACAGUGGGCAUGCUGUACAGCGAGUGCAUUCUGGAGAUGAUUUACCUGUUCUCCAAGUCUGCUAUGUCUUCAUAAAUCCCACAUCGUGCCUCAGCAGAAAUGGGGUACUGCAGUACAUCAGUGAUCUCUGAUUUGAGGAGCUCAGGGGCUGCACGAAGUACUCACCCUGCAGCUUCCCUAUUUCUUUGAGGUUUGGGCCGAAAGGCUACACGCUGCCGUACAGACAGGUGUCAGGUUCAACCACUGAGGACACUAAAUCCUACAAUAUUUUUGCAAUGGUCUUCAAUUGCAAAGUGAGUAGAUGACACGUUUCUCACGGGGGAGCCAUAAGCUGAUCCAGGCAGUCUGGCAGACGGCACUCGCUCUGAUCACACCAGGAAUCUUAGCUCUUUUGCUGCACAUGCAGCUUCUCAGCAUCUUGCUGUAUCAGUAUUGAAAUCUGUGCUACCCUGUCUAUUAGAAAUUUCACCAAUUGCCUUUGAGGACAGACUGGAAUCAAAAUACAUGGGCCAUCAUAGCUUGUCCAUUGAUAAACCUCCCCUUACUGGACAGGCAGACCCAAUUACUUUUUUUUUUCUUUUUUUUUUUCUUUUUUUUUUUUUUUUUUUUUUUUUUGGCUUUAUGCCUUUAUGGGAUCUUUGAGAUCACAGCCUGAAGCAGUGAUGGAGCACCUGGUGAGGGGUGUAGCCCUAUGAGCACAGGUGGAAGCAAUGCACCUGUGGGACCAGAUGGGGCUGAGCCUGUCUCCACCCCUCCCUAAUCUCAUUUAAGGGCUGGUAGCCGCAGAGGCAUUGUCUCUUUCUGGAGGCUGUGUCCUGUGGAUUGCUGGGUGAGCCCUGGUCCUUGGAAAGAGGCUGCCAACUGAUCCCUCUCGUAUCUGCAGUAACCCGAAUGUAGUCUAGUAAGGUUUGCUCAAGUGAGAUGGAAAACGAAGAGGCAGUCUCCAAAACAGGCUCGCGUAUUGGAGACUUAUCCACCACAUGGUGAUGCCUUCCCUGACCUCCUUGAUUGCAGUGUGGGAUGUGCCCUGAUCCUUGGAAAGGGGUGAGUGAUUCCUUCAUCCUUACUAGAAGGUAAUCUCUACUUACCUUUUCUUGUGUCCAGCAGGUGGCACUGGAGAGUUGUGACCCUGCUGAGCAGUGCAAGGACUCUACUGAGGCUCUUGGUGGACACAGCGAGAACCCACACCCAUAGAUGGAUGCCAAUAUCUAUUCCUUCCUCUGUCUGGCAAGCUCUGGUGUCCCCUGAGGUCAUUCCCAUGCUUGCAGAGGUCCUAUGGGCUUCUUGUUGGUUUUCCCUUGUGCUCACUGGGCUUUCCAAGGGUGUUCCUCUUACUUGACACCACUUUUCCCACUCUCCAUUUCCAAGCAGGAGCUCCCCUUGGCCUCCGUGUCUCGCUCUGGCCAGGCAGAUGUGGUGUGCCAAUGGAUC
Long non-coding RNA from Gallus gallus (chicken), 2834 nucleotides. RefSeq lists it as uncharacterized. The record is from RefSeq and is a predicted model, not a curated record. The transcript has 3 exons. Lineage: Eukaryota; Metazoa; Chordata; Aves; Galliformes; Phasianidae.